UCUCCAAUAGCUCAGUCGGUAGAGCGACGGACUGUUAAUCCGCAGGUCCCUGGUU
This 55-nucleotide transfer RNA is filed under the name Acinetobacter pittii. RNAcentral's name for it is "tRNA-Asn". It matches the Rfam family "tRNA", at positions 1 to 53 of the family's 71-position model. Rfam says of the family: Transfer RNA (tRNA) molecules are approximately 80 nucleotides in length. Their secondary structure includes four short double-helical elements and three loops (D, anti-codon, and T loops). Further hydrogen bonds mediate the characteristic L-shaped molecular structure. tRNAs have two regions of fundamental functional importance: the anti-codon, which is responsible for specific mRNA codon recognition, and the 3' end, to which the tRNAs corresponding amino acid is attached (by aminoacyl-tRNA synthetases). tRNAs cope with the degeneracy of the genetic code in two manners: having more than one tRNA (with a specific anti-codon) for a particular amino acid; and 'wobble' base-pairing, i.e. permitting non-standard base-pairing at the 3rd anti-codon position. The record is from RNAcentral. Lineage: Bacteria; Pseudomonadati; Pseudomonadota; Gammaproteobacteria; Moraxellales; Moraxellaceae.